GAGGUCCGCACCGGUUUAAACCGGUACAUCUGCUACCUCAUCGCCGGCGGCUCGAUUAGCGCCAAGCAAUUAUUGAAUACCCGGCCGUUCGACGAUAAGGUUCGUUUCUCUCUUUUAUGUUCACGACUUCCUCAAUCGGGAUACCGAUUUCACGCGGACACUGCCGGGUCUCUUACGUCUCUCGAAUAAAUUCAUAUUUCCGUGUCCCGCGGAUGUAUCAACGGUGCUGCGAUUGUCGUCAAGAAAUGCGAACCGACGUGUCGAGGACGUACAAGUGCAUACGAGAAUCAGCCGACGAGACUACGGCCGGAUUGCUUGCGAGAUGAAGCGGUGCUGGCAUUGCGGAAGAAUAAUGGAACAUACUCGAAUUAAACGGAGAGAGAAACGCACAUAUCUUUACUGCACCACCGAUUAGCGAAUCCCGGCUCCUCACGCACCAACCUCGCAGCCUAAUUCGUUAGGUGCACAACAACGCAAUGUAAACAAUUUCGGACUAGGCCCACUCUGGUCUUCUCCGAGAGGUCCAAAUUGCGACACUCUUCGACGUACAGUGGGUGAUCAAAUUAGUAUGAACAGCUGGUAAACUUACAUAUUUUAUGUUUCCGAUGCUAUUAUGUGUUCCAUAAAAGUGAAGUAUACCCUUUCCAGCAAAAACCGUAACAGCCUGCCUAGCUAAUAAAAAAAUUCAAGUUUUAACGUGAUGUGGAAAUUCACCAGAUAUAAACCCAAUAGAAAAUCUAUGGGAAUUAUUAUAGCGUCGCAUUGCAUCAGAGACAAUAACUAACAAGCAACAACUGAUUGACAAAAUUAUAUUCGUAUGGCAUCACGACCCAGAAAUGCUGGAAAAUUGCCGAAAAAAUCUGGAAAGCAUGCCGAGACGUAUUCAAGCAAUUAUCUAUAGAUGCCAAGGGCGGAGUGACCAAAUAUGUAUUAACCCUUUGCACUCGAGGGCUCCGGAGCGGAGCCAUUUAAAAUUUGUCUUCAAACUCGAGGGCUCCGCUACAGAGACAAUGCAAAUAAGUCCUGUUAUUCAGCAGUAGAGUGUAUCAGAUUCGAGUUUAUCUGUUUUUUUAUAUUUUGAAUAAUAAUAAUAAUAAUAAUAACAUACAACGAUGACUUUUCUUUUAAUGCGUAUAUCAUUAACUUACAUGUAAAUAUGAUCUUUUCACUAAAAUUGCUUCGAGUUGCUGGUAAUAUGAAUGAAAAAAAACUUCGAUUGCAAAGGGUUAACAUUAUAUGUAUGUGUUUUAAAUUAUAAAAGUUGUAAAAUAUAGCAAUAUAAUAAUAAUAAAAAUAUAACAGUAAGUUUUGCAAUAAAAAGGGAUACCAUUUUAAGUGUAUCUUCAAUUCCAUUCCCAAUCAAACUUCAAAUAAGUGGUAAUUUCGAACUGUUCAUAAUACUAUGAUAACACACUGUACAAUCGCGAGGUGCGUGUUGGUGGGUCCGUGGAGUGGUUUAGAGACGAGUUUUGUUCUUAAUUUGUUCCAGUGACAAAUAGGGCAAAAGACUCUAUCUUCACGUAUAAAAAUCUUUAAUUCAAUUAAUUUUUAUUAUUUUGUUUUAUUAUUUUUCAAUUUUAUUUCUUUCGUUUCUUUUAUUUAUUUACGUAGUUUUAGUUUAACAGAUUUUGCAAUAGUUCGGGUUUUCAAAAUUCCAAUCAGAGCAAUAGCUGAUGGUGUGUUUCUCUCUCCCCAGGAACGAGGCAUUUAGAUCAUCAUUAUACGAUUUCCGACCCAUUUUUAAAGUUUAUAUGUAUACAUAUAUUUUUGAUGAGUUAUUUUCCUUUACUCUUCCAGUUAUACUUAUGAAUAUAUUAACAAGUAAUUUCCAGUAGUCAGUAAUUGACUGUGGAAUUUCCUUAUCUGGAAAUUCCUAUAUUUUAUCUUUCCAAUAAUCGUUUUCUUUUGUAACCAAUAAUUGUGUGUCUCAACCUUUAUUAUUCAUGAGCUAAAUUUGUAUUCACAUUUGUUCGAAAUUUAUUAUUGUAUACCACAUUUCAUUAAUUACCUUUUAUAAUAUACUAUUUUUCGUUUAUCUUAA
Molecule: RNA transcript, 2041 nt
Organism: Osmia bicornis bicornis
Lineage: Eukaryota; Metazoa; Arthropoda; Insecta; Hymenoptera; Megachilidae
Exons: 2
Source: RefSeq, a predicted model, not a curated record